CCCUCUCAAGCCCACUGUAGCUCCCAGGGCUCUGCAUGUCCCUAGGGAGGCUCCAACUUCAACAGGGGGCAUCAGGACUCUGGAGGGAGGGAGGAGAUGGGAGGGAAGACAAGGCAGUUGGAGCUGGAAAUCAGUUCUCCUACAGAGCUACCUGUGAACAAUGCCUUGCAUGCUACAUAAUAGCUUAUAAUUCAAAAUGCUUUUAGACAUUGAAACACCUAUCUUUAUCAGUUCUUCUCUCCUAUAUUCUAUGAGAAAUUAAGCUGAUUGGGAAAGAAAUGAAACAUAGGAAACAUCUCCAGAGUGCUCGAAAUUGUAGAAAAUACUGACACAUUCUAGUUAUAUGUAUCUUUAAGCCCAUCUAAGUCUAAGCUUAAGAAGUAAUUAAUAACAAAAUAACGCUUUUCUUUACAGUAUUCCAAACAUUAUAGUGGCACAUUAUAUUGACUAACUUCAGCUGACGCAAGGAAAGCAUGAAAAAAAGAAGUGGUGGUGGGUGAAUCAUCCGCUCUCAGCGGUGGCAAUUAUGCAGGGCACAAAGCAUCUGCAAGAACAGCUCUACUGCGGAGGGAGUGAAAGGACAGAAACAAAGGACAGGGUGCUUCCGUGUGCAGGGUUUGUGUCUGCGUGGCCAGUGGCCCUGCGUAGGAUGGUAAUCACCAAGGCUCAGAUGAUGGAGACCUGCUUCCCUUGACGUCGCUUUUUAAAAAAUGAUUUCAAAAGCAGAGCGGUUCCUAUUUUGACAGUGUCCUGGGUGAAACUUAGCUCUAAGAUUUUGAAAUCUUGAUGAGUAGAAACUGGAAACAAAAAAUGGCUCAAAAACUGUUAGCCCUUUCUUGAGAAAGCAUCAAUUUCCAUUUGACGAAGACAUGGUUGUUUCCUGAAGCCCUUUGAGUGGGGCCUUGGGUUAAACCUGUGUCCAGGCAAGGAGCUGCUGGGUGAAAGCUGACGCAGGAGGUCAGCGGGCUGCAGAGCUCUCACAUCAAAACACCAUAAUCUGCUGCCUGUGACUUCUCUUCCAUGCAUGUCUGCUUGUUCUUCUCUUCCCACCAUGAGAUCCACUCCAGAAACCCAGCAGUUGCCAGGGCCAUCUUCCAGAACUGUGAGUCGAAAUAAAUCUUUUUCUUUUAUAAAUUAUCCAGUCUCAGGUAUUUUGGUAUAGCAAAUGAAAACAGACAAAGACAUAGACAAAGGAAAAGGAAGCACAAGACAACCUUCUCUCCUUGGGAAACUGUAAUAGACUGGUAACUCAACAGGAAGGGACCUCAUAGAAGACUGGCUUGACACCCCCUAUUGCAGUUGUGUUCCAGUUCAGGUAAUUGGAUCCCUGAAUCAUUCUGGAGAGCAAAGUUCCUAACCGUGGAGAUCCAUCUCCAGCCACUUCUUCUGCCAGAAUCACCACAUCAGAGCGCGAAGGUUGAUUGUUACAGAUGCAGCACAAACACCUAAGGUUUUUGCCUGCUGAGGAGGACCCAGGGCCUCGUCAAUCAUCAAGUGCAAGGGGACAACCUCUCCCUGAAGACCCCUCCAAUUCGAACCUACCAGAGUUCCUUGUCCUCGUCCUCCUUCUCAAGUGCUCACUUCCAAUCUCUAGUCUCCUGCAUGCCUGCUGGAUCUGCCUGCCCUUGGCUGUCAUGAGUGGGGAAGGUGCUCAUCAUGAACCAAAAUGGGGAUUUCUGGAGCCAUGGAGACACCCAGAGAUCUGCAGCUGGAGCAGUAUCCUUUUGAGCAGCCUUGGUUGAAGCAGCAGCUGUAUCAGGGCUUCAGCAGAGACUGAAGCAGAGUUCUUUGAGGCAAUUGCGACACCUGUAGGGAUAACUAUAGCAAAUGUAGAAGUCAGGGUGCCUGGAUUGUGGCUUCUAGAGUAGCUACCACUGUUAUUAUAAUGGCCCAGUUGGGCUGGUGAAACAGUGAAGGUGCAAUCAGUGGUCCUGGCAGCAGCCACAGAAGUGGUGGAUGCGGUUGGCAAUUGUCAGAGAAAUUACAAAAGUGCCAGGGAGUUGCUGGUAUCUGUUGCUACCUACCUCAACUCUCCUGGGUGGUUGGGGCUGGUGCCCAGGAUUUCAGAGGGCCCAACUCUGACUCCUGUCCCCACCUCUACCCUGACAUGCAGGCCAAUUAUAGCUGCCUGGUGGCCCUCCAGGAUGGCAGCAGCUGGAACCAAGUGGCCAGACAUGAAGGAAGGGACAGAAGCUAGCUAAGCAGCUGGGCCCUACAAUGUCAGCUUCUGCUGGCCCCAGGCAACUUUGGUGGAUAGGAGAAAAAUAACCUGUUUGUAAAGAGAAAAAAAAAUCUCAGAAACACAAAAAGCAAAAAAAGAUUCUUUGGGUUCAGCCCUCCUAUUCUAUCUCAUAUUUGUCUUUUGUUUUGAAAUCCAAGGACAUUUUCUUUCUCUAUGUUACAAAGCAAGGCAAGAACACCAUUAAAAGCAUGAUUCUCA
Long non-coding RNA from Ictidomys tridecemlineatus (thirteen-lined ground squirrel), 2440 nucleotides. RefSeq lists it as uncharacterized. NCBI's taxonomy places the organism in Eukaryota, Metazoa, Chordata, Mammalia, Rodentia, Sciuridae. The record is from RefSeq and is a predicted model, not a curated record.